UACGGGGGAUGCAAGCGUUAUCCGGAUUUAUUGGGUUUAAAGGGUGCGUAGGCUGUGAGGUAAGUCAGCGGUGAAAUGCCCCCGCUCAACGGGGUGAAGUGCCAUUGAUACUGCCUUGCUGGAAUGCGGAUGCCGUGGGAGGAAUGUGUGGUGUAGCGGUGAAAUGCAUAGAUAUCACACAGAACACUGAUUGCGAAGGCAUCUCACGAAUCCGCGAUUGACGCUGAUGCACGAAAGCGUGGGUAUCAAACAGG
Molecule: ribosomal RNA, 254 nt
Filed under: uncultured bacterium
Lineage: Bacteria
Description: partial 16S ribosomal RNA
Rfam family: Bacterial small subunit ribosomal RNA
Source: RNAcentral